UGGGGAAUAUUGGACAAUGGGCGAAAGCCUGAUCCAGCCAUGCCGCGUGUGUGAAGAAGGUCUUCGGAUUGUAAAGCACUUUAAGUUGGGAGGAAGGGCAGUAAGCGAAUACCUUGCUGUUUUGACGUUACCGACAGAAUAAGCACCGGCUAACUCUGUGCCAGCAGCCGCGGUAAUACAGAGGGUGCAAGCGUUAAUCGGAAUUACUGGGCGUAAAGCGUGCGUAGGCGGCUGAUUAAGUCGGAUGUGAAAUCCCUGAGCUUAACUUAGGAAUUGCAUUCGAUACUGGUUAGCUAGAGUGUGGGAGAGGAUGGUAGAAUUCCAGGUGUAGCGGUGAAAUGCGUAGAGAUCUGGAGGAAUACCGAUGGCGAAGGCAGCCAUCUGGCCUAACACUGACGCUGAGGUACGAAAGCAUGGGGAGCAAACAGG
Molecule: ribosomal RNA, 429 nt
Filed under: Pseudomonadota bacterium
Lineage: Bacteria; Pseudomonadati; Pseudomonadota
Description: Proteobacteria bacterium partial 16S ribosomal RNA
Rfam family: Bacterial small subunit ribosomal RNA
Source: RNAcentral